This 609-nucleotide non-coding RNA is filed under the name Mus musculus (house mouse). The record is from RNAcentral. Lineage: Eukaryota; Metazoa; Chordata; Mammalia; Rodentia; Muridae.
GAGGACCGUAUUCAUGGAAGAGGAUUGAACAGACUACUGAGUUCUUAAGAGAAAAAUGGCACUUAAGAAAUUGAUGGUGAUAUCAAAGGAAGGUUACUUAUUACUCUUGGACUUUGAUGAUGAGGACGAUGACAUAAAAGUUUCAGAGGAGGCUCUUGCGGAAGAGAUGAAGUAGACAGUAUGUUGGAUAAAUCUGGAGUAAAGAACCCAGCAAUUGGUAAAGAUGAGAAUAUAUCGCCUCAAGUAAAAGGAGAUGAAGACAUGGGAGAUGAAAUUGACAGUAUGUUGGCUACAUCUGGAGGGGUUUGCCCCACAUCCUCUAUAUUGCAGAAAACAAGACUAGGCUCUACCUCUGUAGAUCAAGCACGACUGAAAUCCGUGCUCUCAAAAGAUGCUGGGGAGAAAGAGUGCCAUUCUUCACAAAUGCUGAUGUGUGCAGCUGAACAGAGCGUUGAGGAAACGUCAGUGAUUUUAUAACUACUUAUCAUGUUGGGAGAUUGUUGUGAUGAUUGCCUGGACUCUCAGAUGUUACACAGGCUGCAUCAUUGGACUGAAAGUGAAUGGCCCAUGUGUUGCCACUGAUGUGAGCCAUUUGCCUGUUGUGCUUCA